UGGGGAAUAUUGCACAAUGGGCGCAAGCCUGAUGCAGCGACGCCGCGUGAGGGAUGACGGCCUUCGGGUUGUAAACCUCUUUCAAUAGGGACGAAGCGCAAGUGACGGUACCUAUAGAAGAAGGACCGGCCAACUACGUGCCAGCAGCCGCGGUAAUACGUAGGGUCCGAGCGUUGUCCGGAAUUACUGGGCGUAAAGAGCUCGUAGGUGGUUUGUCGCGUUGUUCGUGAAAACUCACAGCUUAACUGUGGGCGUGCGGGCGAUACGGGCAGACUAGAGUACUGCAGGGGAGACUGGAAUUCCUGGUGUAGCGGUGGAAUGCGCAGAUAUCAGGAGGAACACCGGUGGCGAAGGCGGGUCUCUGGGCAGUAACUGACGCUGAGGAGCGAAAGCGUGGGGAGCGAACAGGAUUAGAUACCCUGGUAGUCCACGCCGUAAACGGUGGGUACUAGGUGUGGGUUUCCUUCCUUGGGAUCCGUGCCGUAGCUAACGCAUUAAGUACCCCGCCUGGGGAGUACGGCCGCAAGGCUAAA
This 533-nucleotide ribosomal RNA is filed under the name uncultured bacterium. RNAcentral's name for it is "partial 16S ribosomal RNA". It matches the Rfam family "Bacterial small subunit ribosomal RNA", at positions 355 to 898 of the family's 1533-position model. The record is from RNAcentral.